Molecule: ribosomal RNA, 717 nt
Filed under: uncultured bacterium
Lineage: Bacteria
Description: bacterial SSU rRNA
Rfam family: Bacterial small subunit ribosomal RNA
Source: RNAcentral
UAGUUUGAUCCUGGCUCAGGAUAAACGCUGGCGGCGUGCCUAACCCAUGCAAGUCGAGCGAUCUGUAGCAAUACAGAAAGCGGCGGAAGGGUGAGUAACACGUAGAAAUCUACCUCGACGGAGGGAACAACCCCUCGAAAGAGAGGCUAAUACCCAAAAGGAUUCGCAAGAAUCAGAGUGCGUAAGUGCCUGUCGAGAGGAAUCUGCGGCCCAUCAGCUUGUUGGUGAGGUAAGAGCUUACCAAGGCUACGACGGGUAGGGGGUCUGAGAGGACGUCCCCCCACACUGGAACUGAAACACGGUCCAGACGCCUACGGGUGGCAGCAGGGAGGAAUAUUGGUCAAUGGGGGAAACCCCGAACCAGCAACGCCGCGUGAGGGAUGAAGGCCUUCGGGUCGUAAACCUCUUUUAAGGGAGACGAGAAAGGACGGUAUCCCUGGAAUAAGUCACGGCUAACUACGUGCCAGCAGCCGCGGUAAUACGUAGGUGACGAGCGUUAUCCGGAUUUACUGGGCGUAAAGCGCUUGUAGGUGGUCUUGUAAGUUGGGCGUGAAAACACCGGGCUUAACUCGGUGACGCCGUCCAAUACUGCGAGGCUGGAGGAUGUCAGAGGAAGGCGGAAUUCCUGGUGUAGUGGUGAAAUGCGUAGAUAUCAGGAGGAACACCCGUGGCGAAGGCGGCCUUCUGGGGCAUUCCUGACACUGAGAAGCGAAAGCU